Molecule: non-coding RNA, 1413 nt
Organism: Meleagris gallopavo (turkey)
Lineage: Eukaryota; Metazoa; Chordata; Aves; Galliformes; Phasianidae
Source: RefSeq, a predicted model, not a curated record
UUACAAUAUGGAGUAAGUAUUAACAAAAGCAAGUAAAAUAAGAGCAGGAAAAAUUACCUCUACUAAUAAUAAAUGAACAACAAUGCAAUCACAAUGGUCAUGCAAUAAAAGAACAACCAAACUUAAUGAGUAGAGAGUUUCACUAUAGUAGGUUGUAUGGCAAAAGAAGGCAAUGACAGUGCCUUUUAAUAUGAUAUAAACCCUAUAGAGUAAUAGCAGGUUAAAAAAUAAAAGUAAAAAUUGGCAAUUCCUGGCAAUUCCACUGCACAAGUAAACUACAUGGGACUAUAUUUUCUAGCCUUUUUGUUGGUAUGUUGGCUAAGUGAAAACUUAAAUAUGUCCGUUCAUAGAUACCCAUUGUGUUCUGUCCCUUUGACUCUCAUACAAGUUUUUGGCGAGUAUUUCUUAAGAAAUUCAGUUUUGCUGAGUUUGAAGCAACUACCAUUUUUAAGAUAGCAAAAUGGGUUAAAAAUAUCACUGUUCUGAUAUGUCAGGCAAUGAUGAAGUGGGUUCUGUACAGUUAAUAGAAUCAAGAGAGAGGAGGAAAAGAGAGAAAACUCAUGUAAAUUGAAUUGCAGGUAAGCAUAUCAAAAUGCAUCUAUGAGGGAAAUAAAAACAGAGAAAGAGUAUCUUCUUAAAUGUUUAUGAAUGUUAAUCAAGUUUUAACGUUUGUUUUACUAGUCAGUGUAAUCACUGAAAUACUGCUUGUAUCUGUAUUUUUAGGCCAUGGUUUUAGCCUUAUUAGAUUUCUUAUUUGAAAAAAAAAAAUACAUAUCUUGAACAUAUGGAGAGGAUGAAGCACAUAGGAGUUGAAUUGUUCAUGUAGGAUCAUACAGAAAAUGUAUGAGUAAGCAAGUAAAGGAUCCAGAUUUUCUGUGAUUAGGUCAGUAAAUAACCCUUCUGCAAGGGUCUGCUAGGUCACAGCCUGAACCAGAAGAUGAGCAUGUGGGUGAGCACCUGAGUGAUCAGAGCUGAGGAGCCUAGAUCUGCCCUUCUUCUCUCUCCCUCUUGGUGGCGCUUCCAAGAGCGCGUAUGCACUCGGAGCCUGUGCGGUUUGCACCCUCAGCCCCCUCUACCCCCACUUCCAGUGCACCAGAUUUCAAACCUGUGAAGACUGCAUUCUGCAGCUCGCCAUUUUUCUGAACUGUUGCUGAGACGGUGCUUUGGAAAUGGAUAUACUGGACUUGAACACAAUAUUAAAUAUCCAGGGAUUUUAUGAAGACCUGAAGAUACUGCUCAUCUCCCAUUGAUUGUCCUUGAAGCAGCUUCUUCAUCAUGCUGCAUCUGGAACACAAUUCCUACAGGGAGAAGAGAUGACCAUCUUCUGCUGCAAUUAACCUCCAUGGUAAGUUUCAGAGAGUAAUGAAAUCAAAUCUGAGCUUUUUUUUCUCAGUCCUAGACAACCCAAGUGUC